This 515-nucleotide ribosomal RNA is filed under the name Pratylenchus environmental sample. Its description in RNAcentral is "SSU rRNA". It matches the Rfam family "Eukaryotic small subunit ribosomal RNA", at positions 58 to 570 of the family's 1831-position model. Lineage: Eukaryota; Metazoa; Nematoda; Chromadorea; Rhabditida; Pratylenchidae. The record is from RNAcentral.
UAUAAGUAUAANCGCUUUAAGCGUGAAACCGCGAACGGCUCAUUACAACAGCUAUAAUUUACUUGAUCUUGACAAACUUACAUGGAUAACUGAGGUAAUUCUUGAGCUAAUACAUGCACCAAAGCUUUGACCGUAAGGGAAGAGCGCAUUUAUUAGAACAAAACCAAACGGCUUCGGCUGUUCCCAGUUGAAUCAGAAUAACUCAGCUGAUCGUACGGUCUUGCACCGACGACGUGUCUUUCAAGUAUCUGCUUUAUCAACUUUCGAUGGUAGGGUAUCUGCCUACCAUGGUGGUGACGGAUAACGGAGGAUCAGGGUUCGACUCCGGAGAAGGGGCCUGAGAAAUGGCCACUACGUCUAAGGAUGGCAGCAGGCGCGCAAAUUACCCACUCUCAGAAUUUGGANGAGGUAGUGACGAGAAAUAACGAGGUUGAUCUCUUCUGAGGCCAACCAUCGGAAUGGGUACAAUUUAAACCCUUUAACGAGUAUCUAUGAGAGGGCAAGUCUGGUGCCAG